UAACAACAAAUAAUUUUGGCUGUCGCAGACAUAAAAAAGUUAGACCUUUCCAAUGAUACCUUAGUCAUAAAAAUUGAUACAGUGGUUUGAUCGAAAAAGGGACAUCCAUCAGCCAGUUACAUUUGACUAUUAAUAUAUAUGAUUGAUAAGAAUUUUGCUAUUUUUACCCUUAAAUUUAGAGAAGUUUCCAUUAAGUUGGUUUUGGGGACAUUGCCUAUAAACCUAUCACUUUGCUUUUUGACAACUGUAGUUGAGUACUACAGUCAUAGUUCAAUGUCUAUCUUUAAUUCAUUACAGUGCUUUGCAUUAUUUUUAAAGUUAGCUUUUAAUUUAUUUUUUAUAAACCUUCUCAUCUGUCCUUUUCCCAUAUCCAUAGUUUUUCAGGAGUUCUGAUGAAAACAAUACAUUGAAGUAUAUUGAUUUUAUAAUUGACAUAACUAUUGCUUAGAAUAUUUUUGUAUGGUGAAAAAUUAGAGAAAUACA
This 483-nucleotide long non-coding RNA is filed under the name Androctonus crassicauda. The record is from RNAcentral. Lineage: Eukaryota; Metazoa; Arthropoda; Arachnida; Scorpiones; Buthidae.